Molecule: non-coding RNA, 6506 nt
Organism: Sus scrofa (pig)
Lineage: Eukaryota; Metazoa; Chordata; Mammalia; Artiodactyla; Suidae
Source: RefSeq, a predicted model, not a curated record
CCUAGCCUGAGAACCUCCGUAUGCUGAGGGAAGCGCCCCUAGAAAAGGCAAAAAGACAAAAAAAGCCCAAAAGAAAGGACAUGGCAAGUUGCGUAAACCAGAGCUAAUACUGACCGCAUAAAACAUAAUUAAAAUAUCUUGUGAAGUUAGAAAAACAGGGUAGAACAAAACUACAGGGCAAUAACGUAUCAGUUGUAAGUGAAUAAUAGUUGAAGUUUCUUCUUUUGGGGGGAGGGGGCUCAAAACUGAUUUACUUUAUAGUGUAUGUAACUUCUAAAAUAGAAGAGGAGAAAGGCUAAAUGAGAAAAUAAUCAGACUAAAAGAAGGUGAGAAAAGGAAACAAUGAAACAGAACAGGGACCAACCUUCCCCCCCCUCCCCCGGAAAAACUGGCAAAAAUAAACUCAGUUUAUAAAUCCAAUAGUUAUAACAAAUGUAAAUGGACCUAAUUAUUCAGUUCUGAAGCGAAAGAUGAUCCGAUUGGGUUUAGAAAAUGUAGUUAUAUGCUUUUUACAGAGGGGCACUGAAAUACUUAAAUCAUUUAGAUGGAACACAAACAGGUGGAAAAAGAUACGCCCGAUAAACAUUAACUGAAAGAAAAUGGGUGUAGUUUUGUUAGCAUCAGCUACAAUAGACUAGCAAUUUAGGCAAUGUUUCGGGUGCUGAUUGUGUGUGCUUCCCUUUUCUUACAGGGAAAGGUCAGUAGAAAGCUUCACAUCCUCAGCACGUGGUAUCACAUGGCGUAUAUAUGCUCUUUCUUUGUCUGUGAUUAUUGGAUUGAGAUCAACCCAGUUAUGAUGAAAACCCUGCCCCUUCUAUCGAAAAGAAUCCACUUCCAGUCUAAGGGGAGACCAGGAGGAUUUUGGCAACACGUACACUAAGCAGAAUCUAAUUUCAAUGAUUGACACCUGGAAAUAUGAGCUGAGCGUGAUGACCAAUCAGCUUAAUCUAGGACCCUCACAGGUGAAUUCUGUGCCUCUAGAGCCUUUAAAAGACUUGGUCAGUUAGCUUCCUAGGAUUCUAGUCUGAUAAGCCGUGUUUGGAUAAGUGAAUCUUUGCACGUUGCUUAGUUCAGAUGUUCUCAAGUGCCUGCAAGUAUCUGAGCAGAGAUCAAGCGGAUCCAUCAAAAAAGUAUAUAAAUAUCAGCUCCUAAAAGGGGCAGCCCACUGCGUCUCGGAUUGCUUGUCACGGCAGACACAUGAAAGACAGAAUAAACACACAGCACGCAACGGGAGCGGAACCCCACCAGGCCAAAUGGAGGAAAACACAAAAACAAAACCAAACCAAAAACUGAAGCCAAAGUUCCAUCAAGUCAGGCUCUCCAGCAGGUCACAGAGAGGAGAAGGAUCCUCUUUCUCCCACGACGAGAUCAGAACACCUCCAGUGACCUCCAGAUUUCAGAGGCAUGCUUCCUCUGGAGAGCUCAAGGCCACGUGCAAAGACUUUCAUCUUCCUAGUUGUGAACAUCCUUCCAACCUUAUAAUAUCCCAAACAUAGAGUGUCAAGGGCACGAGGAAAGUCAGGAGAGUGAAGAACACACUCAAGGAUUGCCUCAAUCUUCUCUCUGGAAGCUCCUUAGCAGAACUCCAGAGUGGACUUCAAUUUAAGGAGGUCUUUUGGUUUCCCUUCUAUGUGCAAAUAAAAAGGAUUUCAUCCAGAAGCAAAAAAACAAAAACAAAACCAAACAGCAAAUAAAACUAAAUUUGGGGAACCUGCUCUAAAUUAUAGGUUAAUUAGGGGCAGAUACUUAAUAAAUAUGGUGCCUGCAUGUCAACACCCACAAUGAAUCAUGUCUCUGAAAUUUAUUGAAUGUUUACCAUGUUUACUAGUCUUUUGUGGUGCCCUCCACAAUGAGGUAAAUCCUAUUAUUAGUCCCAUUUUUCAGCUGAGGAAACGAAAGCUCAGAAAGUUGCAGAAACUCACUUGGUAAAUGAUGGAGCUACUAUUUGAACUUCAGAGCCUGUACCCUUUAUCAUUAGGAUAUACAGCCUCCCUUAUAUCUAUCCAUGUAAGCUGAAUAAUUAAACAAUUAGGCCAUCCAUGUGCAAGACAAGAUCAAGGCAAGUGGAGAAAAUGUUGUGAGCAUUUGCCAAAGUGUCUUCUCUUCAAAUAAAUAACAGCAAAAGAAACAUUUCAGAAAUGCACUAGUGGAACUGGUAGCAAAAGACCAGAGCUCAACUCCAAAGCCCCCGUCACUCCCUGUGUUUUGAUCUGUGGAGCCAGCCUCUACUGUCACCCCCAUUGUCCCACCUCCUGGUGUCACAGCUGUGUAAUACCCACCCCUUGGGCAUGGGCUGAACCUAGUGACUCAUGUAGUGGGUAGAAUAUAACAGAAGUGAUGCAAUAACACUUCCCAGAAGGUUACAAAAGACAGCGGGAUCCCACGUGGGCACCUUCUCUCACACUUGCUCACUCUGAGGAAGGCCAGCUGCCAUGUCGUGAGCUGCUCUACAGAGGAGACCACUAGACAAAGAAUUGGUGUCCGUAGUCACCAGCCUUCAACCUGCCAGAAGCCACAUGAGUGAGCACCCCCUUCCCUAUACCUCCUGGUCCACUUUCUGCUCAAAAGGGGCAUGAGAACUUCCUGUUUCUGCCAACGAAUCAGUUGAAAAGAAGAGAUGAGAUUAUGAAGGUAGGCCUGUGUCAACUGAUACCUCCCAAAAGAGUGCCCACUCUACAAGACAACAACCAAAAAACAACAGAAACUUCAAUAUGUACCGUAUCAUUUAAGUCAUCUGCCAACACUUUCCCAACUGCUAUCUCACAUUAUAGUUGGCCCAUCUGGGUCUCAGGGAGGUUAAGGCACUCGAUAACUAUUUCAGUGACUUUCCCAGAACACACCAGGGGAAGAAUUAGAACUGAAAGCCAGGGUCUUCAGAUUCCAAAUCCCAUGCUCUAAAGCAUGUGUUUGGAGAUACCCACUCUCCUCUCCAGAACCAUCUAAGACAUCCAGGCCGGGUCAAGUGACAUCCACCUCUUGCUUCUAUGAGCCAGUAAUGUGCUGUGGUGGCCUGGUCACAGGGCAGCUUGGCCAGGCUGAGCUCCGUUUCCCAGAAAUCCCUUCCCUUUAUGUUUCUGGGAGGGCUGCGUAAGACAUCCACUGGGGAGAUGCAGAGUAGAAGGAGGCGGCAACCUUCUCAAGCUCACACAUGUUGGGGCUGAUCUGCUGAUGCACCUGGGCCUGCAGGUACCCCACCUACAACCCAAUUCUUAAGGCUCUAUGACUGCAUGCAUCUGUGUCAGAUAUAUGGAUGAUGAGAAAGCCGAGAGACAAGGGUGGGUUUUCUGUCUGGAUGGGAUUUAAACAGAAAGAGGGGGCAGGUCUCAAAGCUAUCAGAUUGAAGGAGUUUUGGUCUAGGUCUGCCUGGAGAGGAAGCUUCAGGAACAGUAGAAAAAUGGAGGCUCUGUCUUGGCCGGGAGCCCCUGGGUCUCUGCCACCUUGUACCUUAAGACUAGGCACCCUCCCUCUUUCUGUCGGCUGUGACAAAGGUAUGCAGAAGGACAGAGACAGGGUCCUGGAUCGGCUUUGCUCCUGGCUUUGCUUCUAGGCUAUUCCUUACACUUUACGUUGACCCCAUGGGGGUAUAGGGAGAUGGGAGGAAAUCCUGUGUGCCCUUGUGAUGGACCUGAUCAACCACUCAGAGACAGGGCCCUUACUGGGCACCUGCCCUGCCCAGGCCAAUUCUCAGCUCUGUGGGGACCAGCAGGUUUAUAGGACCCCUUGGGGUCCCUGCCCCCAGAGUGUUUCCAAUCCAGCUGGCAGGAAUAGCGUGCCUGUUUAGAAUGAUGGAACACUCAAGUGCUAAACCAGUGGGGUAAAGAGCCAAAUACUUGGGGAAGAGGCAGAUCAAAGUGGGUUCUUGUGAUUUGCCAAAGCAAUAGCCAAGAAAUAGAAGAAGCAAAUGGGAGUCAGAAAUCUAACACCAGCUCUGCUCACACACCUGGGCGUAAAUGGCUUUGUUUUAGCACCAGGCUUCAAAAUCUGGCUCUGCCAUUUAAGACUGAUAUGAUAGUAGGCAUUAAACCAUUUAAUCCUUCCUUCUUUCUUUUGUGUGAAAUGGGCUUUAUAGCAGCACCUACCCCUAAGAUUGUGAGGAUUAAAAGGGUUUAUAUGAGAACACCCUUAGCACACUGCCUGGCACUGAGUAUGUAUACGUGUAUUAUUUAUUAUUUUUAAAAUUGUUAUUAUUACUAUGUCUCCCUCUAGUUCCCUAUCUAAACAGGGAACAGGAUUUAUUAACUUGCUUUGAGUGAACCAUGAUCUGGAUCCAAUCUUCCUUUAAAUAACCUACAAAUUGCCAUAUCUCACAAAUGUUUUGUUUGUGCUGUGGGCUUUGGGUUUCAAUUAAAAACUGUCCAAGGACACAAAUCCUGUUCUAAUAACAUUGAAGAUUAAAGGGAGUUUGAAGCUAAAAUAUAGUUGGUUUGUAUAAAUGAAAAUUGCCUGAGAGAGUACGGAUGCAUUUUUUCCAAAUCUAAGUGCAUUGUCAUUGAAAGGUUAUUUUUCUUGGUUUGGAAGAGAAUAAAAAAAUCAUUGUCAUACCAUAGCAACCAGACUGGUAAGUGAUACAGAACAGGCUGAACUGAUAAAAAUAUCUGUGAAAAUGUCCAGAUUGAUGAAAUAUUCUAAAAAUAAGUUUAACAAAAUAGUGAACACAAUGAAAUGGGUCUAAUUUUCCAUACAUGUCAUUUCAUGUUUUAUUUUUUGAAAGUUAAGAUACUCACUUUGAAAAUGACUGUAAUAAUUGCCAUCUGGUGAAAAAGAAAGUCAAAAAGCCCUAGUUUUGGACAAUAGAAAGAUAUGUUUAUGGAAAAACUUGGCCGUUCUAAGGAAAAACAAAUACAUAUAUAGCCUGAAAUUUAGAGUUUAUGCUUCUCCAUGCUAAGUCUUCAAAAUCAUAGUUUUUAAAAUACCCACAUGCUUUACAGUAAACUCAUUUUCCCCACUAUUAUUUAUUUCUCUUUUCAGAAUUUCAAAGCAGAGGAACAUUGUUGCUUUGUUAGCUUUAAGGAAAAACAGACGUUUCAAUGAUAAAUUCUAACAUUAGAUCAGUGAAACCCUACCCAACCCUAACAAGGAAAUUAAGGGUUCUGAAACAGCAGUGUUUUAAGACAGGAACUGCCAGUAUUUGUUAGGCUAGACUUCGAGGGGAAUGUGCUUCUGGUCUGCCGUGGAUCAAGGGCCCUUUGUGUUUCUAGAGCAGAUCAACAACACUGAGAAAUGGACUAUAGAGCUGAGCUACUCUGGAAGAUAUUUGGGCAUUUUUAUACUUUUCUGUGAGCAGGAAGGGCAAAGUAGUGAGCUGUUUUCUCUGUGGCCUCGUGGACCGUCCUUGCAAGGCUAUGCUGGGUAACACUUUACGAGUAACUUCUUCAUUCAAUAUACUCAGCACAUAUUAAUUGAAUUGGACAGAUGGGCACGUGCCAAGCACGGUGUUUGGUCCUGGAGACAUGAGGAUGAAUGGUAGAGACGUAGCUCUUGCCCCUAGAGUUGGAGUUUGGGGAAAGAAAUUUGGAUAUGUAAGCAAAUACAUUUUUCCAAAGGACUUAGAAUUACCUAAGAUAAUCUUAGGGGUCCAAAAAUGAGAAUGAUGAUUCUCCCUGGAGGAGUCAAGGAAGGCUUAAUAAAGAGGUAAUCAUUUUGCUGAGAUUUAAAGGGAUUUAAAUAGGCCGGGCGUGAGAGACCAGUAGGGCUUGGUUCAUAUGUGGUCUAGGGUGGAAGGAUCAUUCCAGACCAAAGAAAUACUAUUAAGAAGGACAUGAAAGCAUGAAAUAGUUAUGGCCUAAGUGGGUACAAUGGUGGGUUUUGAGGAAGUGAGAGACAGGACCAUGUGGCAGAGGUAAGUGGGAAUCUCACUGUGUAGGGAUUUGGUGACGUGAAAAAUUGCUCACCUGAGUCCCAAUUCAAGGGGUUGAAGCCAAGGAGUCGUGUGUACACACACUUGGACUGGUAAAUGUGGAGACUGAACCCAAGUGGAAAGCCGUAGAGAAAGUAUUACGGAGGCUACACUGGUAGUUCAGUUGGCAGUUGAAGAGAAUAUCAAAGAAGGCACUAAGAACAGAGAGACUGGGGGUUGGGAGUGAGGGGCUUUGACGCUGGUAGGCUUAAAGGCCACACCUUUGUUGCGAUGGAGGCAAAGGAGGGGAGUGGGUGCGGACACAAACUAUCUGGACUAUAGGAUCCUUGCCUUGUCUUCUGUGCCAUUUGAGACUCCUUUUCCAAGACAAUGACUGAAAGACAGUUCUUUUCAAUAAACAUUUAAUCAGUGGACGAUGAGAGAACAAAUGAAUGCAACCCUGCCUGUGGGACACCUAGUAAACCACUGGCCAUUCAGGCUAGACACACACAUUUGGGAACGUGAGCAAGUAGGUGAGAAACAGACCAAGAAUAAAACUCCAGGAAAAUACCAGAAAAUAAAGUUGAACAAAGAAAAUAGACAGGAGAUACCACUUGUAUGUAGAACAAUGGCACAAAUGAACCUACCUACAGAACCUAAACAGACUCAC